UUUUCCCUCUCUUUCUUUCAAGGCCACUCGUUCUCUCUCUUACUUUUCAAGGCCAACCCCUCCCACUUCCCCCACCACUUCAAGGCCAAGGCAUUAUUGGACCUUGAUGUUUUCAAGGUCAAGGUUAUUCAUGCUACUCCCCACUUUUGCAAGGCCAACAACUCCUCACUCAUUCAAGAUGAAUCGCGCAAUUGUCCUUACUCAUUUUCCACCCCAAACUGUAUAAAAGUUAAUGUGUUGUGUUGUGUAACACAGUUCUUGUGUAUAUCUACUAUAACAAGAAAUUCUUUAAAAAUGGAACCCAUCAGAAAAAGUUCUAUUUAUAAUACUCCUGAGGAUAUCAUAGUUUGUCCAUACGACAAAAAUCACAUUCUUCUUUGGUUUCGGCUCGAAAGGCACAUAUGGAAGUGCCAUCGGGCCGAUAAAGAAAAACAAAGGGCCUUACGUGAAGUGAUGAUGAAGGAAGAAGAGGAGAACUGGGAUCAUUUCAAUGAGCCCAGCUACCUCGACUUCCUGAAAUCUAAAAAAAUUCAUAAUGUCAAAAAACAAAGAUCCUCAUGUGAAGUGAUGAUGAAGAAAGAAGAGGAGAACUGGGAUCAUUUCAAUGAGCCCAGCUACCUCGACUUCUUAAAAUCUAAAAGGAAUCAUAAUGCCUUAAAUUAAAGAAGGCCGGGGUUCUUUCGUAAAAAUAGUGUAGAAUAAGUUUAGCAAAGUAGUAGUAGUCGUAGUAAACUGUAAAUAUUAUAUUAUUGUAUAAAAAAAAUAAAAGUUGUAAAAAAAAGCUACAUGUUUUUAUGUACACCUAUUUCAACCUACUGAUACAAGUAAGUGUGACCUGCAAGCAGAGAGUCGCUCACUGUUUCAAGACCAC
This is a long non-coding RNA of Tribolium castaneum (red flour beetle), 871 nucleotides long. RefSeq lists it as uncharacterized. The record is from RefSeq and is a predicted model, not a curated record. NCBI's taxonomy places the organism in Eukaryota, Metazoa, Arthropoda, Insecta, Coleoptera, Tenebrionidae. The transcript is spliced from 3 exons.